AUUUCUAAAAAACUCCCCAUGUGAGGCUGGUGCCACUGGGCCAAGGCCACACUUGGAGAACCGCUGACCUAGAUGUUACUUUUCAAGCUGCACGUGUGGGUUCCCCAGCUACAAAGUCUGUUGUAGCACACAGGGUGAACUUGGUGUGCGCAGGUCAGGAGGAAGGAAGUUCUGAUUGAGAAUGCAAGCACAAAAGAUUUCAGGUACUUAAUUCUGACUGUGGGGUGUGUGCUCUCUCCCAGGUGUCUCAGAGCCAGAAAAGGUUGCCAGCCAGUGACUCAGAACACAAAAACCAGAACUGAGAACUGAUUAUAUUUGUUUCCUUUGCUGAAAGUAAAGUCUCUUGAAACUCACACUAAGACUAGUUACUUUUUUGAGAACAGCUCCGAAAGGCCUUUAAAUGGUCCAUUAUCAACCAAGGAAAGCCAGCAACUAGGAGCAGACCUUUAUCUCAAGAAAACCAGCUUGCCAGGGGAUCCAGGCCUGUCUGGGCCUCCACGGGGCUUGUCCCGACUCCUUUACCUCACCUCAUAGGGUGAAUGCCAGGACUCCAAUCACAGGAUGAGGUUGGAGAAUGGUCUGAUCUCAGAGGAAAGAGAGCAGGGAAAUGAAAACAUGUUUGCCUGCGGCGGCCUCACAGUUCUCCCAUUAUAACAGCAGGUCUCACCAGGCCCUGGAUUCUAUUUCUUGAAGAUGAGCUGUGCCCAGGCCAGGCAAGGCCACAGUGGUUCAAAGGAAUGAUAUGUGAACACUGCAGACUGUGGAGGACAGCUGGAAGCCGCGUUUGGAGCGGCCCACGUGAGCUGGCUGAGUGAUGCUGACCGCGCAGAGAUGAUAUGGGCGUGGGCUCUGGAGCCUGGAACAGCAGACACAGAAGUGCUGCAGAGCCCGGCAGGGAAGGCCACCUCCCAACUCCCGCAGUAGUUUGGCCUUUGAAACACGAAGAACAGUUCCAUUUAUUGUCCUGUUGUUUUUGCUUUUGCUUUAAUAAUAAAAAGAAAACCAAAACCUUC
This is a long non-coding RNA of Galeopterus variegatus (Sunda flying lemur), 1013 nucleotides long. RefSeq lists it as uncharacterized. The transcript is spliced from 2 exons. Lineage: Eukaryota; Metazoa; Chordata; Mammalia; Dermoptera; Cynocephalidae. The record is from RefSeq and is a predicted model, not a curated record.